RNAcentral lists this ribosomal RNA (253 nucleotides) under uncultured bacterium. RNAcentral describes it as "partial 16S ribosomal RNA". It matches the Rfam family "Bacterial small subunit ribosomal RNA", at positions 524 to 776 of the family's 1533-position model. The record is from RNAcentral.
UCCAGAGGUGGCAAUCGUUGUUCGGAAUUACUGGGCGUAAAGGGCGCGUAGGCGGUCUUGUAAGUCCCGUGUGAAAGCCCCCGGCUCAACUGGGGAACGGCACGGGAAACUGCGAGGCUUGAGUUCGGGAGAGGGAAGCGGAAUUCCGGGUGUAGCGGUGAAAUGCGUAGAUAUCCGGAGGAACACCAGUGGCGAAGGCGGCUUCCUGGACCGAUACUGACGCUGAGGCGCGAAAGCUAGGGGAGCAAACGGG